UAGAGUUUGAUCCUGGCUCCGAUUGAACGCUGGCGGCAGGCCUAACACAUGCAAGUCGAGCGGCAGCGGGAAAGUAGCUUGCUACUUUUGCCGGCGAGCGGCGGACGGGUGAGUAAUGCCUGGGGAUCUGCCCAGUCGAGGGGGAUAACUACUGGAAACGGUAGCUAAUACCGCAUACGCCCUACGGGGGAAAGCAGGGGACCUUCGGGCCUUGCGCGAUUGGAUGAACCCAGGUGGGAUUAGCUAGUUGGUGAGGUAACGGCUCACCAAGGCGACGAUCCCUAGCUGGUCUGAGAGGAUGAUCUUCCACAUUGGAACUGAGACACGGUCCAGACUCCUACGGGAGGCAGCAGUGGGGAAUAUUGCACAAUGGGGGAAACCCUGAUGCAGCCAUGCCGCGUGUGUGAAGAAGGCCUUCGGGUUGUAAAGCACUUUCAGCGAGGAGGAAAGGUCAGUAGCUAAUAUCUGCUGGGCUUGACGUUACUCGCAGAAGAAGCACCGGGCUAACUCCGUGCCAGCCAGCCGCGGUUAAUACCGGAGGGUGCAAGCGUUUAAUCCGGAAUUACUGGGGCGUUAAAGCGGCACGCCAGGCCGGUUGGGAUAAGGUUAGAAUGUUGGAAAGCACCCGGGGCCUCAACCCUGGGGAAUUUGCCAUUUUAUAACUUGUUCCAGCUUAGGAGGCCCGGGAAGGAGGGGGGGGGAAGAAC
This 707-nucleotide ribosomal RNA is filed under the name uncultured bacterium. RNAcentral's name for it is "bacterial SSU rRNA". The stretch from base 3 to 557 matches the Rfam family "Bacterial small subunit ribosomal RNA", at positions 9 to 546 of the family's 1533-position model. The record is from RNAcentral.